AAAAAAGGUAAGCUACUAAGAGCGAAUGGUGGAUGCCUUGACUGGUAAAGGCGAUGAAGGACGUACUAGACUGCGAUAAGCUACGGGGAGCUGUCAAGAAGUUUUGAUCCGUAGAUUUCCGAAUGGGGCAACCCAAUGUAUAGAGAUAUACAUUACCUAUAUAGGAGCGAACGAGGGGAAUUGAAACAUCUUAGUACCCUCAGGAAAAGAAAUCAAUAGAGAUUGCGUCAGUAGCGGCGAGCGAAAGCGCAAGAGGGCAAACCCAGUGCUUGCACUGGGGGUUGUAGGACUGCAAUGUGCAAGAGGUAAGUUUAGCAGAACAUUCUGGAAAGUAUAACCAUAGAGGGUGAUAGUCCCGUAUGCGAAAAACAAACCUUAGCUAGCAGUAUCCUGAGUAGGGCGGGACACGAGGAAUCCUGUCUGAAUCCGGGUCGACCACGAUCCAACCCUAAAUACUAAUACCAGAUCGAUAGUGCACAAGUACCGUGAGGGAAAGGUGAAAAGAACUGAGGUGAUCAGAGUGAAAUAGAACCUGAAACCAUUUGCUUACAAUCAUUCAGAGCCCUAUGUAGCAAUACAGGGUGAUGGACUGCCUUUUGCAUAAUGAGCCUGCGAGUUGUGGUGUCUGGCAAGGUUAAGCAAACGCGAAGCCGUAGCGAAAGCGAGUCUGAAUAGGGCGCUUAGUCAGAUGCUGCAGACCCGAAACGAAGUGAUCUAUCCAUGAGCAAGUUGAAGCUAGUGUAAGAACUAGUGGAGGACUGAACCCAUAGGCGUUGAAAAGCCCCGGGAUGACUUGUGGAUAGGGGUGAAAGGCCAAUCAAACUUCGUGAUAGCUGGUUCUCUCCGAAAUAUAUUUAGGUAUAGCGUUGUGUCGUAAUAUAAGGGGGUAGAGCACUGAAUGGGCUAGGGCAUACACCAAUGUACCAAACCCUAUCAAACUCCGAAUACCUUAUAUGUAAUCACAGCAGUCAGGCGGCGAGUGAUAAAAUCCGUCGUCAAGAGGGAAACAACCCAGACUACCAGCUAAGGUCCCUAAAUCUUACUUAAGUGGAAAACGAUGUGAAGUUACUUAAACAACCAGGAGGUUGGCUUAGAAGCAGCCAUCCUUUAAAGAAAGCGUAAUAGCUCACUGGUCUAGUGAUUUUGCGCGGAAAAUAUAACGGGGCUAAAGUAAGUACCGAAGCUGUAGACUUGCACACAACUUAGAUUAUUUAAGUUUAGAAUAUGAGAAACUAAGUUAUAUGUUUAGUUAUAUUUUUACUGAUUUUUAUAGAGUAAAGAUAGAAAUAAAACUUAGUAAAAUCAGUAAAAAUAUUCUUAGACUAAAGUUAAGUAGUUUAAGUUGUGUGCAAGUGGUAGGAGAGCGUUCUAUUUGCGUCGAAGGUAUACCGGUAAGGAGUGCUGGAGCGAAUAGAAGUGAGCAUGCAGGCAUGAGUAGCGAUAAUUAAUGUGAGAAUCAUUAACGCCGUAAACCCAAGGUUUCCUACGCGAUGCUCGUCAUCGUAGGGUUAGUCGGGUCCUAAGUCGAGUCCGAAAGGGGUAGACGAUGGCAAAUUGGUUAAUAUUCCAAUACCAACAUUAGUGUGCGAUGGAAGGACGCUUAGGGCUAAGGGGGCUAGCGGAUGGAAGUGCUAGUCUAAGGUCGUAGGAGGUUAUACAGGCAAAUCCGUAUAACAAUACUCCGAGAACUGAAAGGCUUUUUGAAGUCUUCGGAUGGAUAGAAGAACCCCUGAUGCCGUCGAGCCAAGAAAAGUUUCUAAGUUUAGCUAAUGUUGCCCGUACCGUAAACCGACACAGGUGGGUGGGAUGAGUAUUCUAAGGCGCGUGGAAGAACUCUCUUUAAGGAACUCUGCAAAAUAGCACCGUAUCUUCGGUAUAAGGUGUGGUUAGCUUUGUAUUAGGAUUUACUCCGAAAGCAAGGAAACUUACAACAAAGAGUCCCUCCCGACUGUUUACCAAAAACACAGCACUCUGCUAACUCGUAAGAGGAUGUAUAGGGUGUGACGCCUGCCCGGUGCUCGAAGGUUAAUUGAUGGGGUUAGCAUUAGCGAAGCUCUUGAUCGAAGCCCGAGUAAACGGCGGCCGUAACUAUAACGGUCCUAAGGUAGCGAAAUUCCUUGUCGGUUAAAUACCGACCUGCAUGAAUGGCGUAACGAGAUGGGAGCUGUCUCAAAGAGGGAUCCAGUGAAAUUGUAGUGGAGGUGAAAAUUCCUCCUACCCGCGGCAAGACGGAAAGACCCCGUGGACCUUUACUACAGCUUGACACUGCUACUUGGAUAAGAAUGUGCAGGAUAGGUGGGAGGCUUUGAGUAUAUGACGCCAGUUGUAUAUGAGCCAUUGUUGAGAUACCACUCUUUCUUAUUUGGGUAGCUAACCAGCUUGAGUUAUCCUCAAGUGGGACAAUGUCUGGUGGGUAGUUUGACUGGGGCGGUCGCCUCCCAAAUAAUAACGGAGGCUUACAAAGGUUGGCUCAGAACGGUUGGAAAUCGUUCGUAGAGUAUAAAGGUAUAAGCCAGCUUAACUGCAAGACAUACAAGUCAAGCAGAGACGAAAGUCGGUCUUAGUGAUCCGGUGGUUCUGUGUGGAAGGGCCAUCGCUCAAAGGAUAAAAGGUACCCCGGGGAUAACAGGCUGAUCUCCCCCAAGAGCUCACAUCGACGGGGAGGUUUGGCACCUCGAUGUCGGCUCAUCGCAUCCUGGGGCUGGAGCAGGUCCCAAGGGUAUGGCUGUUCGCCAUUUAAAGCGGUACGCGAGCUGGGUUCAGAACGUCGUGAGACAGUUCGGUCUCUAUCUGCCGUGGGCGUAAGAAGAUUGAAGAGAUUUGACCCUAGUACGAGAGGACCGGGUUGAACAAACCACUGGUGUAGCUGUUGUUCUGCCAAGAGCAUCGCAGCGUAGCUAAGUUUGGAAAGGAUAAACGCUGAAAGCAUCUAAGCGUGAAGCCAACUCUAAGAUGAAUCUUCUCUAAGCUCUCUAGAAGACUACUAGUUUGAUAGGCUGGGUGUGUAAUGGAUGAAAGUCCUUUAGCUGACCAGUACUAAUAGAGCGUUUGGCUUAUCUUUAAUAAAGCAU
This 3071-nucleotide ribosomal RNA is filed under the name Campylobacter jejuni. Its description in RNAcentral is "23S ribosomal RNA". It matches the Rfam family "Bacterial large subunit ribosomal RNA". Lineage: Bacteria; Pseudomonadati; Campylobacterota; Epsilonproteobacteria; Campylobacterales; Campylobacteraceae. The record is from RNAcentral.